AGAUUCCUACUGUCCCUAUCUACUUUGGGGCCACCAACCCGUGACUGUUUUGGAGUCAAAAUUGGUAGUGUCCUUCGUGGCACGAAGCCUGACCGGAGGCUUUAUUCUGGUACCACGGGAGCCAGGGCCCGCGGAACUCGUUUCCGUCCUGGCUAUUGGUUGCGGCCCCUUGGGGAGCUUCGUGGUGGUUGUGGUUAACACUCAAGCGAGUAGACGUGGAGUUGCGUUAUACAACCUGGUGCUGUGACCCACAGAUCAGCAGAGGUUUAGAUAGCCUCGCUCCACACCAGGGAGGAAGACAUGACCAAAACAGAUUGUCUUCAACUGGUACCGGAUGAACCGGGGCGCUGAUUGACGCUUAAAUUAAUCCUGUGCUUGGCACCGUGAGAUAAAGCCAAUACGGCAGGUGUUCACGUAAAACACAUUGACUUUAAUGUCCCUAUCUACUAUCUAGCGAAACCACAGCCAAGGGAACGGGCUUGGAAUAAUUAGCGGGGAAAGAAGACCCUUUUGAGCUUGACUCUAAUCUGGCAGUGUAAGGAGACAUAAGAGGUGUAGCAUAAGUGGGAGAUAUUAGAUUUCGGUUUGGUAUCGACAAUGAAAUACCACUACUCUUAUUGUUUCCUUACUUACUUGAUUAAAUGGAACGUGUAUCAUUUCCUAGCCAUUAUACGGAUAUAUUUAUUAUAUCUUAUGGUAUUGGGUUUUGAUGCAAGCUUCUUGAUCAAAGUAUCACGAGUUUGUUAUAUAAUCGCAAACAAAUUCUUUAAUGAGAAAAUGCAUUUAUGUAUUUUCAAUUUGAAAAUUUGGUAUAACUCCAAUUACUCAGGUAUGAUCCAAUUCAAGGACAUUGCCAGGUAGGGAGUUUGACUGGGGCGGUACAUCUCUCAAAUAAUAACGGAGGUGUCCCAAGGGCCAGCUCAGUGCGGACAGAAACCACACAUAGAGCAAAAGGGCAAAUGCUGACUUGAUCUCGGUGUUCAGUACACACAGGGACAGCAAAAGCUCGGCCUAUCGAUCCUUUUGGUUUAAAGAGUUUUUAACAAGAAGUGUCAGAAAAGUUACCAUAGGGAUAACUGGCUUGUGGCGGCCAAGCGUUCAUAGCGACGUCGCUUUUUGAUCCUUCGAUGUCGGCUCUUCCUAUCAUUGUGAAGCAAAAUUCACCAAGCGUUGGAUUGUUCACCCAUGCAAGGGAACGUGAGCUGGGUUUAGACCGUCGUGAGACAGGUUAGUUUUACCCUACUAAUGACAAAACGUUGUUGCGACAGCAUUCCUGCGUAGUACGAGAGGAACCGCAGGUACGGACCAAUG
Molecule: non-coding RNA, 1311 nt
Filed under: Drosophila persimilis
Lineage: Eukaryota; Metazoa; Arthropoda; Insecta; Diptera; Drosophilidae
Description: Eukaryotic large subunit ribosomal RNA
Rfam family: Eukaryotic large subunit ribosomal RNA
Source: Rfam by way of RNAcentral